GCCCUCAUAGCACAGUGGUAGUGCGUCCCACUCGUACAGGAUGGAUCCAUGGGGAGGUCGGUUGUUCGAAUCAGCCUGUGGGCA
Molecule: transfer RNA, 84 nt
Organism: Jaapia argillacea
Lineage: Eukaryota; Fungi; Basidiomycota; Agaricomycetes; Jaapiales; Jaapiaceae
Rfam family: tRNA
About the family: Transfer RNA (tRNA) molecules are approximately 80 nucleotides in length. Their secondary structure includes four short double-helical elements and three loops (D, anti-codon, and T loops).
Source: Rfam